Molecule: ribosomal RNA, 253 nt
Filed under: uncultured bacterium
Lineage: Bacteria
Description: partial 16S ribosomal RNA
Rfam family: Bacterial small subunit ribosomal RNA
Source: RNAcentral
UACGAAGGGGGCUAGCGUUGUUCGGAAUCACUGGGCGUAAAGCGCACGUAGGCGGAUCUUUAAGUCAGGGGUGAAAUCCCGAGGCUCAACCUCGGAACUGCCUUUGAUACUGGGGAUCUCGAGUCCGGGAGAGGUGAGUGGAACUGCGAGUGUAGAGGUGAAAUUCGUAGAUAUUGGGAAGAACACCAGUGGCGAAGGCGGCUAACUGGUCCAGCACUGACGCUGAGGUGCGAAAGCGUGGGGAGCAAACAGG